This 1676-nucleotide long non-coding RNA is filed under the name Equus caballus (horse). Its description in RNAcentral is "lncRNA (ENSECAG00000043202.2)". Lineage: Eukaryota; Metazoa; Chordata; Mammalia; Perissodactyla; Equidae. The record is from RNAcentral.
GUCAACCCUUAGACAUCCAGGACACUAGGGAGACCACCCGGGUCCCUAGGCCACUGCCCUGCAUCCUGUCCUUUGAAUCUGACCUCAUCCAUUAGAGCACUUGCUCUCCCGCAGCCCUCUCCUUCCAGCGGUAAGACCAAAGGUGGUAGAGGCAACCCCAAAAUCCACUUGAAAGGCUGGCCAAUGAGUGAGUUUUUCAUGAUCUAAAAGGUUAUGAAGUAAAAGAGAGACUGAGCCUGCGGCACCAGAGAGGCCUGUCGUUAGAAGGAGGGAAAAACAGAGCAAACACAUAUAACUCACCCUGCCCAGGGUGCUGAGAACUGGAGACCGCCUCCCUGCCUUUUUCACCCUGGCGGUGAUGAGCACAGGGGACAUCAUUCUCUGUCUAGACAGUGUCCUGUGGCACAGGGCCGCCCUAUGACAAGUCUCCUGAAGGUCCUGCUCUCACUUCCCUCCUGACGGAAACACUCAGGCUGGCCCAGCUAACCUCACUAAGUGCCCACACCCAAGAACUGCCCGUAGGGGCGGCCUCUCCCGUGUCCCCUGUGCCCCCGGCCCAGAGCCUUCUCCGGGAGCCCACAGAGAGCUGGAGAAGAAGGAGAGCAUCAGGGCCACUGCGUGUGGGUGUGGAGCUUGGCCUGAGGGGACAAGUGGGGCUGCUUCUGUCAACUGGAGGGGCCCAGUCAUCCCAGAGCUGGCCCUUGUUCUAACAGCCACAGAGGCUCCAAGAAGGUGGAAGGGGGCUGAUUCCUCCAGUUCUCCCAGAAACUGCACACCAACCCCCUUCACUACGUUUCUGCACUCAGAGGCUGCCUCUAACCAAAGAGAGGGGCAGCUGCAGGGUUGGCACAUCGCCUGCCGUAAAUCAGGACAUUCAGAAAGGCGGCUCAAGACAGGUAGACCCUAGCCACGUGUGGCUUCAGGCUCUUGAAACACGGCUGGUCCAAAUGGAGAUGUCCUGCUAAAGGUCCCGGGCACGGUACCCCUGAUGAAAAGUGGAUAAAAGAUCACCGCCUGCCUCAGUGUCUGUUACAUAGUGUGAUCGUGCCCAGUGCUGCACCAGGGACAUCGCAUGUUAAUAGCAGGAAGUGUGCUGUGAUCAGAGGAGCAAACUCCCAUUUAUUCCAGGAGUUGAGUCACUGCUCUUCUAAAAAGGGAGGAUUCUAAAUAUAUUGAAAGGGGGAGCUAGUGCUGGAUACUGGGGAGGGUGUCUUGUUGCUGGUCUUUUAGAAAAAAGGCAACAGAUUAAGCAGUGGAUCAAAAUAUAAGUAAAAGACUUGCCCACCAAGUUAAAAAGCAAAAAAGAACUGAACUAAAAUAAAAAUAGCUCCAACUCAGAGAUCAAGAGGACCAUUUUGUACAACGAAAGAAUAGAAGUGGUCCGCUUACACUGCGCCAAGCCACUAGCUUGAAGUGCAUCUUUGUGCUGAUAGCCGAGAGUCUGAAAGGCUUCAUUAUGAAGAAGUUAAUGCUUGACAGCGGCCGACUCCACCACAGCAAAAUUGCCCGCCUUCGAAAGACAGCCUCCUAUGAGUCUUGGGUUAAUUACUCAAAUCUCCAAAUUAUCCUUCAGGGAAAAAAAUGAAGCAUGCAGAAUUAAAAGCAGAUCUGUAGCUGAGAUUAUGAAAAGGGAGUGGGUUCCUUUCCAUGUUAAAAAAUGAUUAUUUCUAUUGCAG